GAUGAAGAACGCAGCGAAAUGCGAUAAGUAGUGUGAAUUGCAGAAUUCAGUGAAUCAUCGAAUCUUUGAACGCACAUUGCGCCCCUUUGUAUUCCAUGGGGCAUGCCUGUUCGAGCGUCAUUUGUACCUUCAAGCUCUGCUUGGUGUUGGGUGUUUGUCUCGCCUUUGCGUGUAGACUCGCCUUAAAACCAUUGGCAGCCGGCGUAUUGAUUUCGGAGCGCAGUACAUCUCGCGCUUUGCACUCAGAACGACGACGUCCAAAAGUACAUUUUUACACUCUUGACCUCGGAUCAGGUAGGGAUACCCGCUGAACUUAAGCAUAUCAAUAAGCGGAGGA
RNAcentral lists this unclassified non-coding RNA (337 nucleotides) under soil metagenome. Its description in RNAcentral is "partial contains 5.8S ribosomal RNA, internal transcribed spacer 2, and large subunit ribosomal RNA". The stretch from base 1 to 120 matches the Rfam family "5.8S ribosomal RNA", at positions 35 to 154 of the family's 154-position model. The record is from RNAcentral.